This 638-nucleotide long non-coding RNA is filed under the name Ananas comosus (pineapple). RNAcentral's name for it is "long non-coding RNA (ACOM_LNC035392)". The record is from RNAcentral. Lineage: Eukaryota; Viridiplantae; Streptophyta; Magnoliopsida; Poales; Bromeliaceae.
CCAUCCUAGGAUUACUCCCGCCCUAGCACGCUUAACUCUCUUAACCUCUUGGGCCUUGCCACCACCAAAAAUGCUUAAGCCGGGUUAAGAGUUUAGCCAUAUUAUAUCUCAUAUAUAUGACUAUAUGGGGUCUCACAAUCUCCCCUCCUUUAAGCCCUGACGUCCUCGUCAGGCUCAGACUCACAAGUACCAGGCGAUGUGAGACUCGUCUCGCUAGCCCGUCAUCCAAACCCUGGCUCAGCCGAGACUCAUCUCACACUUCCGGCUGGUAAUUGGCUCUGAUACCAACUGUGACGCCCCAGCUUCCCAGGGGUCACCCAUCCUAGGAUUACUACCGUCCUAGCACGCUUAACUCUCUUAACCUCUUGGGCCUUGCCACCACCCAAAAUGCUUAAGCCGGGUUAAGAGUUUAGCCAUAUUAUAUCUCAUAUAUAUGACUAUAUGGGGUCUCACAAAAUUGGUAGCGGCUCGGGGCGUGAUAGAUAAUAUGGUAUCAGAGCAAGUUAAGAGCAAAUAAAGAGAGUCUAGGACUGACCUAGGAGACCCUAGGAUGGUAAACCGUAAGGUUAUAGGUGCGUGAGUGGAACGUGAACCUAUACGAUGGCAGAAGUUGAAUUGAUUGGGUCAGUUUUGUAAAC